RNAcentral lists this ribosomal RNA (214 nucleotides) under Bacteroidales bacterium. RNAcentral describes it as "partial 23S ribosomal RNA". It matches the Rfam family "Bacterial large subunit ribosomal RNA", at positions 2700 to 2925 of the family's 2925-position model. The record is from RNAcentral. Lineage: Bacteria; Pseudomonadati; Bacteroidota; Bacteroidia; Bacteroidales.
GACCAACCUCUGGUAUACCGGUUGUGGCGCCAGCUGCACCGCCGGGUAUCCACGUUGGGUCAGGAUAAGCGCUGAAAGCAUCUAAGCGCGAAGCCGUCUGCGAGAUGAGGUUUCCUUUGAGGGCCGUGGGAGACUACCACGUUGAUAGGCAGGAGAUGUAAUGCCGGUAACGGUAUCAGUCGACCUGUACUAAUAGCCCGAAAUCUUUCGGUGA